CUCCAGACUCCUACGGGAGGCAGCAGUGGGGAAUAUUGCACAAUGGGGGAAACCCUGAUGCAGCGACGCCGCGUGAGUGAAGAAGUAUUUCGGUAUGUAAAGCUCUAUCAGCAGGGAAGAAAAUGACGGUACCUGACUAAGAAGCCCCGGCUAACUACGUGCCAGCAGCCGCGGUAAUACGUAGGGGGCAAGCGUUAUCCGGAUUUACUGGGUGUAAAGGGAGCGUAGACGGUCCUGCAAGCCAGAUGUGAAAGCCCGGGGCUCAACCCCGGGACUGCAUUUGGAACUGUGUGGCUGGAGUGUCGGAGAGGCAGGCGGAAUUCCUAGUGUAGCGGUGAAAUGCGUAGAUAUUAGGAGGAACACCAGUGGCGAAGGCGGCCUGCUGGACGAUGACUGACGUUGAGGCUCGAAAGCGUGGGGAGCAAACAGGAUUAGAUACCCUCGUAA
Molecule: ribosomal RNA, 447 nt
Filed under: uncultured bacterium
Lineage: Bacteria
Description: bacterial SSU rRNA
Rfam family: Bacterial small subunit ribosomal RNA
Source: RNAcentral